This is a non-coding RNA of Triticum urartu, 123 nucleotides long. The record is from Rfam. NCBI's taxonomy places the organism in Eukaryota, Viridiplantae, Streptophyta, Magnoliopsida, Poales, Poaceae.
CUGGUACCUCCUCCGUUCCGAAUUACUUGUCGCAGGUCGGUAGGUAUGGAUGUAUCUAGAUGUAUUUUAGUUCUAGAUACAUCUAUUUCUACGACGAGUAAUUUGGAACAGAGAGAGUACAAU